RNAcentral lists this transfer RNA (68 nucleotides) under Marmota monax (woodchuck). RNAcentral describes it as "tRNA.Ala". Lineage: Eukaryota; Metazoa; Chordata; Mammalia; Rodentia; Sciuridae. The record is from RNAcentral.
GGAUUGUGGCUCAAUGAUAGAGCAUUCGCCUAGCAUGUGCGAGGCCCUGGGUUCAAUCCUCAGCACCA